GAAAUGCGAUAAGUAAUGUGAAUUGCAGAAUUCAGUGAAUCAUCGAAUCUUUGAACGCACAUUGCGCUCGCCAGUAUUCUGGCGAGCAUGCCUGUUCGAGCGUCAUUUCAACCAUCAAGCUCUGCUUGCGUUGGGGAUCCGCGGCUGCCCGCGGUCCCUCAAAAACAGUGGCGGGCUCGCUAGUCACACCGAGCGUAGUAACUCUACAUCGCUAUGGUCGUGCGGCGGGUUCUUGCCGUAAAACCCCCAACUUCUAAGGUUGACCUCGGAUCAGGUAGGAAUACACGCUGAACUUAAGC
This 299-nucleotide unclassified non-coding RNA is filed under the name plant metagenome. RNAcentral describes it as "partial contains 5.8S ribosomal RNA, internal transcribed spacer 2, and large subunit ribosomal RNA". The stretch from base 1 to 105 matches the Rfam family "5.8S ribosomal RNA", at positions 50 to 154 of the family's 154-position model. The record is from RNAcentral.